GACGAACGCUGGCGGCGUGCUUAACACAUGCAAGUCGAACGGAAAGGCCCUGCUUUUGUGGGGUGCUCGAGUGGCGAACGGGUGAGUAACACGUGAGUAACCUGCCCACAACUUUGGGAUAACGCUAGGAAACUGGUGCUAAUACUGGAUAUGUGCUCCUGCUGCAUGGUGGGGGUUGGAAAGCUCCGGCGGUUGUGGAUGGACUCGCGGCCUAUCAGCUUGUUGGUGGGGUAGUGGCCUACCAAGGCGGCGACGGGUAGCCGGCCUGAGAGGGUGACCGGCCACAUUGGGACUGAGAUACGGCCCAGACUCCUACGGGAGGCAGCAGUGGGGAAUAUUGCACAAUGGGCGCAAGCCUGAUGCAGCAACGCCGCGGGCGGGAUGACGGCCUUCGGGUUGUAAACCGCUUUCAGCAGGGACGAAGCUUUUUGUGACGGUACCUGCAGAAGAAGCACCGGCUAACUACGUG
This 469-nucleotide ribosomal RNA is filed under the name uncultured bacterium. Its description in RNAcentral is "partial 16S ribosomal RNA". It matches the Rfam family "Bacterial small subunit ribosomal RNA", at positions 28 to 507 of the family's 1533-position model. The record is from RNAcentral.